GUGAGGAAUAUUGGUCAAUGGGCGAGAGCCUGAACCAGCCAAGUAGCGUGAAGGAUGAAGGUCCUAUGGAUUGUAAACUUCUUUUAUAGUAGAAUAAAGUGAUCCACGUGUGGAUUUUUGUAUGUAUACUAUGAAUAAGGAUCGGCUAACUCCGUGCCAGCAGCCGCGGUAAUACGGAGGAUCCGAGCGUUAUCCGGAUUUAUUGGGUUUAAAGGGUGCGUAGGCGGAAUAAUAAGUCAGUUGUGAAAGUUUGCGGCUCAACCGUAAAAUUGCAGUUGAUACUGUUAUUCUUGAGUGUACAUAAGGUAGGCGGAAUUCGUGGUGUAGCGGUGAAAUGCUUAGAUAUCACGAAGAACUCCAAUUGCGAAGGCAGCUUACCGGGGUACAACUGACGCUGAGGCACGAAAGUGUGGGUAUCAAACAGGAUUAGAUACCCCGGUAGUCC
This 445-nucleotide ribosomal RNA is filed under the name uncultured bacterium. RNAcentral's name for it is "partial 16S ribosomal RNA". It matches the Rfam family "Bacterial small subunit ribosomal RNA", at positions 354 to 796 of the family's 1533-position model. The record is from RNAcentral.